This is a microRNA precursor of Gadus morhua (Atlantic cod), 63 nucleotides long. Lineage: Eukaryota; Metazoa; Chordata; Actinopteri; Gadiformes; Gadidae. The record is from Ensembl.
UUCAAGUAAUCCAGGAUAGGUUUGUUCUGACAAGCAGUAAAGCCUAUUCAGGAUGACUUGUUU